CCUACGGGUGGCUGCAGUGGGGAAUAUUGCACAAUGGGGGAAACCCUGAUGCAGCAACGCCGCGUGAGUGAAGAAGUAUUUCGGUAUGUAAAGCUCUAUCAGCAGGGAAGAAACCCACCCUCCGGGGUGGCUGACGGUACCUGACUAAGAAGCCCCGGCUAACUACGUGCCAGCAGCCGCGGUAAUACGUAGGGGGCAAGCGUUAUCCGGAUUUACUGGGUGUAAAGGGAGCGUAGGUGGCAAGGCAAGUCAGAUGUGACAACCCGGGGCCCAACCCCGGGAGUGCAUUUGAAACUGUACGGCUGGAGUGCAGGAGAGGUAAGUGGAAUUCCUAGUGUAGCGGGGAAAUGCGUAGAUAUUAGGAGGAACACCAGUGGCGAAGGCGGCUUACUGGACUGUAACUGACGUUGAGGCUCGAAAGCGUGGGGAGCAAACAGGAUUAGAUACCCUGUAGUC
RNAcentral lists this ribosomal RNA (456 nucleotides) under uncultured bacterium. Its description in RNAcentral is "partial 16S ribosomal RNA". It matches the Rfam family "Bacterial small subunit ribosomal RNA", at positions 338 to 795 of the family's 1533-position model. The record is from RNAcentral.